This 249-nucleotide ribosomal RNA is filed under the name uncultured bacterium. RNAcentral describes it as "partial 16S ribosomal RNA". It matches the Rfam family "Bacterial small subunit ribosomal RNA", at positions 524 to 771 of the family's 1533-position model. The record is from RNAcentral.
UACGAAGGGGGCUAGCGUUGCUCGGAAUCACUGGGCGUAAAGCGCACGUAGGCGGAUCUUUAAGUCAGAGGUGAAAUCCCAAGGCUCAACCUUGGAACUGCCUUUGAUACUGAGGAUCUUGAGUUCGGGAGAGGUGAGUGGAACUGCGAGUGUAGAGGUGAAAUUCGUAGAUAUUAGGAAGAACACCAGUGGCGAAGGCGGCUUACUGGUCCGGUACUGGACGCUGAGGUGCGAAAGCGUGGGGAGCAA